UGGGGUGUAGCCCAGGGUUAGAGAAUUUGCCUAGCGUGCAUGAGGCCCUGGGUUUGAUCCCCAGCACCACAA
Molecule: transfer RNA, 72 nt
Filed under: Fukomys damarensis (Damara mole-rat)
Lineage: Eukaryota; Metazoa; Chordata; Mammalia; Rodentia; Bathyergidae
Rfam family: tRNA
About the family: Transfer RNA (tRNA) molecules are approximately 80 nucleotides in length. Their secondary structure includes four short double-helical elements and three loops (D, anti-codon, and T loops).
Source: Rfam by way of RNAcentral